UUCCCGAAUUUGCUCCUGCUCUUUUAGCCAUUGUUUGCGAUAUUCGGCUCGCUUCGCGUUUUCACGUAUUUCUCGCUCUGCAUCUGGCAAAAAGGAGGUAUCCGCAGAUGGAUCCUUUCCCAUAAACAUUUUUUUCUCAACUUUUUUUAAAGGUAGAUCAUCAUUCUCCAGUUCUUCAUCUUCACCAAAAGAAAGUUUUCCUUUGUUAACUUUAAUGCCCUGUUUGACCUUUUUGCUUAAAGCAUCUUUUCUCUUUUUUCUAAAAUUGAAUUGUCAGUCAUAUUUAGAAUACUAUCGGGCUUUUCUCGUUCUUUUCACUUACAUUUUAGUACUUGUGGUUGAUAGCGCAUGUUUCUCUCGUUUUUCAACGAUGUUUUGUUUUACUCUUUGAUAAUCCUUUAAAUGGACUAAACCAGUCGUACUAUUUCGUAAAAUCUCAUGAAUUUCAUCGGCAUCAGUAUGGCCGCUCAUUGUAUGAAGAAUUCAAAAAAACGUGAGUGGUGAGCGUUCUUCCAAAUAAGCUUGAAUACCCAAAAUACCCUUUUUUUGCCUCGGUUUUCAAAUCUCAAAAUGAAAGAAAUGACUAUUACUAUAUUUAUCGUAGAAGAAGAACAUGUUUUUUACAUUUACCUAUGAGGGAUCCUAGAAUAAACGCACACUUUGCCAAAGUCACGUUGCAUAUAAGUUUUUUAUAUUUGUCAAAACGGUUAUUAAAUAGAAUAACAACGAGGUGGGGCACUUUGAAGCAUUCUGUAAUCUUUAACUGCUUGUAUAGACACUUUUUAAAACCAAUCUAGAGACAAAUAAAACGAAUUACUCGUUUGUAUUAACAAGCUUUGGAAAAAUAGCAAUAGAUUAAAAACAAAAAAAAAACUAGCUAAUCACUAGUGUUGCUAUAAAUACUCUAAUAAAUUUUCGUAUCUGGUCAUUGAAUGCAAAACCAUCUUUCGAAUGCCAAUAUAUAAAGUCAUUAAAGUGAUCCUAAAAAAUCAUCAUUAUCCAAUGUUCAUCAAAUUCAUUUUAAUUUGUCCACUUCGCAUCGCUAAUAAAUAUGAAGCUCGCUGGUAUACUGUCAGAUAAAAUAAAAAGAAAAUUUUCAAGAGCUGUCCCCUUUGAAUAUACGUGGCAUAUGCUUUCCACGAAAUUGCUCAAUUGAAUUGGCAAUACCAAAGUUUCGGCCAGUUUCCACUACUAAAAAGCAAGCAAGAUCCUCACUACUCCAGUAACUGCUAUGAGCCGAAAGCAUAGAAAGAUAUUUGUUUGAAAUGACCCCAUGGGCACUCGUAAAUACGUAGUCCAACUGAGAGUUUUCAUUCAACUCUUGCAUGCGCCACUUGGCCCUUUCUUCUCUGCGAAAAUUGCGAGUCUCUAACUCGACAGUCUGUUCAGGCUCCAGUGGGACCACUGCUGUGGGCUCAUUGUUUUUAUUUUGCUGCAAAGAUUGAUUGUAACUUCGAAGUUCCACAGGAUCAGUAUUAGAAUGUGAGAUCAUUCUCAAAAUACUUGAAGAUUUUCUUGUGAACAGUAUACGAGUUGGGUGGAUGCCUUUCGAAAAUGAGAGAUCCACUGUGGGAUUUAAUCGCAUCGCAACGGCUAAUUUGUUAGUAAAUACGAUAAUUUAAUGAUGCGCUUACGAUCAAGGUGAUUAUAGAUGUUAUAAAAAGAGUCGACUGCGAGACAUCCGUACCGAUCAUAACCAUCGUAAGUAUAUGACUUUGGAACAUCAGAAUUUAUAAAGUUUUUAUUUAUUUCGUAUCUUGAUGAGCCUCUUCCACGACGAGGAAUAAUACUUUGUUGAUUCAAAUGCAAAAAAAAACCUACCGGACCACCAAAACAAAAAAAACCGUUUGUGUCGAAUAUAAAGCAGCUUUCAUCAUCGUCUAUAGUAAUUUCUUUGACAAAAGUGGGUUGAAGUGACAAAAUAUCAAAAACAACUGUGGAGCCCAAAGAAUGCCCAAUUAUAAAGAUACGGCCCUUGUUUUCUAAAAAGUAAGGAUUGCAGUCCUUCCACAAAUGGUAAACCCUAUUAGCUUCACGAAUUACAGACUUUAUAAUGGAUUCUUUGUGAUGAGACAUAUAAUAGGGAAUAUCACUCAUCACAUCUCCUAAUAACCUUCGCACCGCUGGAAUGCUAUCAAUUUCAAUAUCCUCAAUUGAAAAUCGAUUUUCUUCAAAUUCUUCAUCCUCAACCCGUCCUUCAUCACCGGCAACUGGCUUUAUAUAUGAAUUAAAAUUAAGCUUAUUUCUCCAACAUAUCGGAAGAAGUUGUGGUUCAUAAUCGUUUCGAAUCAACGGAUCCUCUUUCAUUAUGUUUUUCUGAAUUUGGAUCAAUGAACGAAAAACGUUGCACGUCUUGGUAAAUAAGAAUCGUUCCUCUAUAUUGUCAACAUUAGUAAUUGAAUGCCGGUGUAAGAUAAAAAAAAAUCAAGUUUACUUACCAGUCUCUGAUCUUUUUUGACCGAUACCAUGAACCACCAAAAAAAGAUCUGUAACUUGUUUAGGUCCAUUAAAACCAUCAUCUUCAAAGUAAGGAAAAUCUCGAACGACCGGCAUACCUUUAAUACUGGUCCUUCGAGAUUGAGUCCCUUUUGAAAAAUAGGAUAACAAACCUCCUUGACAAAUGAGUGCUCUAUAUCCGUCUUCGUAAAAUACAUAUUUGCCAGAGGAGGUAGGUUUAAGAGGCCAUUGCAUCGCAUCAAUUAAUUCCUUAGAGGACUUGUUACGUUUAUGAGACAAUACAGAAGGAUCAUCUUGAGAAUCCUUCCCUUCUUCUUCUUCUUUUAAAACAUUAUCCCAGUUAACGGCGUAUGGCUUCACUUCCUGGUAGCCCUCUUCUAACAUAUCCGACAAUUCAUUGAUUACAGGAAGACCCGUAUCUUCGUACAUCCAAAGACCGCGAACGACUCGUAAGGUAUCAUUUUUACUGGCACUUGGCCAGUAUAGAGGCUUUAAAGUAAGAGUAGGUAAGUUUACCACAUGAAGCCCAGAAAUUCCAACAAUGACCUGCUCGUUAGUUAAGCUCACAUAUAGAUUAAAAAAUUAGUUACAUUCUUCUGAUUUGGCUCUUGAGACACCUCCUCUGUAAUAAUUUCAUUGUAUUUUGCUUCUAAAGCGUUAUUAUCGUAGUUCAAAAACCGCCUCCAGGACUGCGCCCCAGUCAACUCCAUAGAAGAAGUCUCAUCGUAGAGGUCGUAAUUGGAUAGGUAAAACCACUGAACAUAGUGCACAGGCUCCUCCUGGGAUGAUUCUUGCAUAUAUCUCGGUGUUGGGGGUCGCGUUCUGUUUGAUCAAAAUGUAAACAGUUCUACAAAGAAU
Molecule: non-coding RNA, 3315 nt
Organism: Schizosaccharomyces pombe (fission yeast)
Lineage: Eukaryota; Fungi; Ascomycota; Schizosaccharomycetes; Schizosaccharomycetales; Schizosaccharomycetaceae
Source: the annotation of a GenBank genome assembly